AUGGCGAAGUCGUCGUGGCCGGAGGUGGUGGGGUGGCCGCAGCUGAACGCGGCGGACCAGAUCAACAUCGACCGGCCGGAUGUGACUGAUGUGGGGUUCUACAUGGAGGGCUCCCCGCUGCCAUCUGGAUACAACCCCAGGCGCGUCGUCAUCAUCUCCGACGCCAACGGCGUCGUUGUCAAGACCCCCGUCAUCGGCUAG
Molecule: ribosomal RNA, 201 nt
Filed under: Triticum aestivum (bread wheat)
Lineage: Eukaryota; Viridiplantae; Streptophyta; Magnoliopsida; Poales; Poaceae
Description: partial small subunit ribosomal RNA
Source: RNAcentral